UAAGGAAUAUUGGUCAAUGGAGGCAACUCUGAACCAGCCAUGCCGCGUGCAGGAAGACGGCCCUCUGGGUUGUAAACUGCUUUCAUUCGGGGAUAAACCUAUCUACGUGUAGAUAGCUGAAUGUACCGAAGGAAUAAGGAUCGGCUAACUCCGUGCCAGCAGCCGCGGUAAUACGGAGGAUCCAAGCGUUAUCCGGAUUUAUUGGGUUUAAAGGGUGCGUAGGCGGCCUAUUAAGUCAGGGGUGAAAGACGGUAGCUCAACUAUCGCAGUGCCCUUGAUACUGAUGAGCUUGAAUGAACUAGAGGUAGACGGAAUGUGACAAGUAGCGGUGAAAUGCAUAGAUAUGUCACAGAACACCGAUUGCGAAGGCAGCUUACUAUGGUUUUAUUGACGCUGAGGCACGAAAGCGUGGGGAUCAAACA
Molecule: ribosomal RNA, 422 nt
Filed under: uncultured bacterium
Lineage: Bacteria
Description: bacterial SSU rRNA
Rfam family: Bacterial small subunit ribosomal RNA
Source: RNAcentral